UACGUAGGGGGCAAGCGUUAUCCGGAAUUACUGGGUGUAAAGGGUGAGUAGGCGGCAUGGUAAGCCAGAUGUGAAAGCCUUGGGCUUAACCCGAGGAUUGCAUUUGGAACUAUCAAGCUAGAGUACAGGAGAGGAAAGCGGAAUUCCUAGUGUAGCGGUGAAAUGCGUAGAUAUUAGGAAGAACACCAGUGGCGAAGGCGGCUUUCUGGACUGAAACUGACGCUGAGGCACGAAAGCGUGGGGAGCAAAUAGG
This 253-nucleotide ribosomal RNA is filed under the name uncultured bacterium. Its description in RNAcentral is "partial 16S ribosomal RNA". It matches the Rfam family "Bacterial small subunit ribosomal RNA", at positions 524 to 776 of the family's 1533-position model. The record is from RNAcentral.